UGCCAGCCGCCGCGGUAAUACGGAGGGUCCAAGCGUUGUUCGGAAUCAUUGGGCGUAAAGCGGGUGUAGGCGGCUUGGCAAGUCGGGUGUGAAAUCCCUGGGCUCAACCCAGGAACUGCAUCCGAAACUGCUUCGCUAGAGUCCCGGAGAGGAUGGCGGAAUUCCCGGUGUAGAGGUGAAAUUCGUAGAGAUCGGGAGGAACACCAGUGGCGAAGGCGGCCAUCUGGACGGUGACUGACGCUCAGACCCGAAAGCGUGGGUAGCAAACAGGAUUAGAUA
Molecule: ribosomal RNA, 279 nt
Filed under: uncultured bacterium
Lineage: Bacteria
Description: partial 16S ribosomal RNA
Rfam family: Bacterial small subunit ribosomal RNA
Source: RNAcentral